Molecule: ribosomal RNA, 489 nt
Filed under: uncultured bacterium
Lineage: Bacteria
Description: partial 16S ribosomal RNA
Rfam family: Bacterial small subunit ribosomal RNA
Source: RNAcentral
GACGAACGCUGGCGGCAGGCUUAAUACAUGCAAGUCGAACGGCAGCAGGACUGUAGCCCUACUGUUGCUGGCGACCGGCAAACGGGUACGGAACACGUACGCAACUUACCCUGAACUGGGGACUUGCCCGAGGAAGCCCGGAUUACUAACCCGUGAUAUAAUGGAGUGGCAUCACUUUUUUAUUAACGCUCCGGUGGUAAGGGAUCGACGUUCGGCUGAUUGGGUAGUUGGUUGAGGAAACGGAUCACCAAGCCGACGAUCAGUAACUGGUGUGAGAGCACGACCAGUGACACGGGCACUGGAACACUGGCCCGAGACCUACGGGAGGCAGCAGUAAGGAAUAGUGGGCAAGGGAGGCAACUCUGACCCAGCCAAGCCGCGUGGAGGAAGAAGGCCCUCGGGGUGGUAAACUUCUUUUAGAGGGGACGAAACCUGAGUAAUCUUACGCAAUUGACGGUACCCUAGGAAUAAGCACCGGCUAACUCCGUG